CCUACGGGAGGCAGCAGUCGGGAAUUUUGGGCAAUGGGCGAAAGCCUAACCCAGCAACGCCGCGUGAAGGAUGAAAUCCCUCGGGAUGUAAACUUCGCAAGAACGGGAAGAAUAAGUAGGGGACAAUACCCCCUAUGAUGACGGUACCGUUUGUAAGCUCCGGCUAACUCCGUGCCAGCAGCCGCGGUAAUACGGGGGGAGCAAGCGUUGUUCGGAUUUACUGGGCGUAAAGGGCGCGUAGGCGGCCAGCACAAGUCAGUUGUAAAAUCUCCGAGCUUAACUCGGAAAGGUCAACUGAUACUGUGCGGCUAGAGUGCAGAAGGGGCAACUGGAAUUCUUGGUGUAGCGGUGAAAUGCGUAGAUAUCAAGAGGAACACCUGCGGCGAAGGCGGGUUGCUGGGCUGACACUGACGCUGAGGCGCGAAAGCCAGGGGAGCGAACGGGAUUAGAUACCCCGGUAGUCCUGGCCUUAAACGAUGAAUGCUUGGUGUCUGGGGUUAUAAAGUCCCUGGGUGCCGUCGCUAACGCUUUAAGCAUUCCGCCUGGGGAGUACGGUCGCAAGACUGAAACUCAAAGGAAUUGACGG
This 586-nucleotide ribosomal RNA is filed under the name uncultured bacterium. Its description in RNAcentral is "bacterial SSU rRNA". It matches the Rfam family "Bacterial small subunit ribosomal RNA", at positions 338 to 916 of the family's 1533-position model. The record is from RNAcentral.